Pteropus alecto (black flying fox) is the source of this 74-nucleotide non-coding RNA. NCBI's taxonomy places the organism in Eukaryota, Metazoa, Chordata, Mammalia, Chiroptera, Pteropodidae. The record is from Rfam.
GGCUCCAUAGUGUAGGGGUUAGCACGUCUGCUUCACACACAGAAGGUCCUGGGUUCGUACCCCAGGUGGAGCCA